This 845-nucleotide long non-coding RNA is filed under the name Nicotiana benthamiana. RNAcentral's name for it is "long non-coding RNA (NBEN_LNC022168)". Lineage: Eukaryota; Viridiplantae; Streptophyta; Magnoliopsida; Solanales; Solanaceae. The record is from RNAcentral.
CAAAAGAAAAUUCCAUUUGUGACUUUUGUAGGAAUAUUAUUAUUUGGGCAAAAAUCACAUGCUCACACUUGGCACAAACUGAGAGAAAACAUAAAUUGAUAUUGAAAUUAAACAAAAAUAAAGCUAACCAAAUGAGAUAUAUAGCUUUGAUCUUCGAUAGGUUGCCUUCGAAGCAAACAAAUAUUUUACUAGAAAGAUGAAUAGAAGAACAGAGUAUUAAGAGCUUAAGAAGAUGGUAUGUUGCUUUAUGUAACACGAAUAUUAUCUUUUAUAAAUGAUUAGACCUCAUUUAUAUAGUAGGGGAGUUCUGCGCUUAAUACAAUUUUAAUUAUAGUAAGAAAUUCAAGUAUUAGCUGAUUAAUCGGUCUCUUCUUGAUACAUGCCGAAAUUUCCGCCGUGAUCCUCUCCCGAUCACGAAUGUUUUGGCUUCUCGUUAUUUGGCUGGCGGGCUUUCCUCGCUAUUGCUCAAUCUUUAUCUCGCUUGAUCUCGAUCUCGAUCAGUUCCUGAGUCACGAGUUUGGCAAUCUAAUUUUGUGUCACAGUCCAAUAUGACAUGGAGUCAAGCUUUGGCCUGCCACACCCCUAUCUCGAUUAAUCAUACAAAUAUGACAAGCCUGAUUUUGAUCCCAUAUAUCCUGGGAAACCAAAUGCUAAUCCACUAUAACAACCAAAAACAGUUGUCCCCUAAUAUGUGGUACUACUUUGUCCGAAACAAAUACAAAAGUUGAAGCUUGUUUAAUACUAGCUAGUGGUCAUUAUGAUGAUCAAGCAGGUUUAGACGUUGUAGCUGUCUCUCGUAAUGAUCACCAAGAAGCUUAAUUUAUUACUCCCCCUUUCAUUUUCUA